GACGAAGGUGGCGAGCGUUGUUCGGAAUCACUGGGCUUAAAGCGUAUGUAGGCGGAUAAGUAAGCGCUUUGUGAAAUCCCCCGGCUUAACCGGGGAAUUGCUUGGCGAACUGCUUAUCUUGAGGCAAGUAGGGGUGCAUGGAACUCUUGGUGGAGCGGUGGAAUGCGUAGAUAUCAAGAGGAACGCCAGCGGUGAAAACGGUGCACUGGACUUGUCCUGACGCUCAGAUACGAAAGCGUGGGGAGCGAACGGG
RNAcentral lists this ribosomal RNA (253 nucleotides) under uncultured bacterium. Its description in RNAcentral is "partial 16S ribosomal RNA". It matches the Rfam family "Bacterial small subunit ribosomal RNA", at positions 524 to 776 of the family's 1533-position model. The record is from RNAcentral.